This is a long non-coding RNA of Dermochelys coriacea (leatherback sea turtle), 841 nucleotides long. RefSeq lists it as uncharacterized. The transcript is spliced from 3 exons. The record is from RefSeq and is a predicted model, not a curated record. NCBI's taxonomy places the organism in Eukaryota, Metazoa, Chordata, Testudines, Dermochelyidae.
GGGGGGGUGAUUCUUUGGUUAGAGGUCUCUGGACAGAGAGGUGUCUGCAGGAAAACCCUAGUCUUGCCUCCUGAGUACUGGAAGAGCCUUUCUUCUCAUCCAAAGUCCAGAAACAUCUAAGUGGGGAAUAUGAAUAAUUGUAAGCACUGCUGCUGAAUUUGUCAAGUGUGGAUGCAGGCUAGCACCAUUCAAGUGCCAUGAGUCCUCCCAUGCCUUCCCACAAUUCCUGCUGCACACCCGGAGAGGUAAGGCACUUCUCCCCCAAGUCACUAAGAAGGAAUUCCUGAAGCACCACAGCUCACUGAGGCACAAAUUACCCUGGGAUGUGGCUCCAGGAGCCUUAGCGCCACACACGAGCGAGUGCAGUGCCAUGUGGACACAGCAGUGACUGCAGUUUCACAGUGUGGCCAAUCUCAUGCCAGAGGAGUAAGGCAAGUGCAGAAGCUGGAGUGAAGACAGACCCCUGCCAGUAGAGUGUCAACAGCAGUUAAUCUGGAGCCUGAAGAAGGACUGUGGUGCCUAACAAUAGGCGCGGUGGUGUGAAAGCCUGGGCCUGGCACACUUUGCAAAAAUGGAAGCUCCACCUGGACUUUCCUUGGCAGUCUCCCAUCCACGUUCUGAUCGACCCUGCUUGAGAUGGGAGCAAGGAGUAAUUACAAACAAGAUCAACUCUGAUUUUUAAAAGGACAAGGUUUGUGAACAACCUCUCAACUGGAAACCAAAAAUCAUUGUAAUCAAACAAACAAGGAGAAGAAAGCAGACGAUUAGACUCUGGUGGGACUCACUCACCGCAGGUACACCUCCUGUGGCUAGGUCUGGGAAUUAGCUCUCGCUCUGUCUG